CUCCCCGGGAACCUGGUGCCCUCCUCCCCGGGAACCUGGUGCCCUCCUCCCCGGGAACCUGGUGCCCUCCUCCCCCUUACUCCAAUCCCAAUGCAUGGAUAGAGGCUUAACGGUGUUUGUGGCAGUUCAUGUCCCGGAUGUGUUACUAAAUGGGUGGCGCUGGAGGCUUGGGGCGAUACCACCACUCGUUUGUCUGUUGGCGAUUAGUGUUGUCCCCCCGAGUGGCCAGCGUGGCCCCGUACCAUUCAGGACACGAGUUGCAACGGGCGCGCACUGAAGCUAGCGUGCCCUCCCGAGGAGUGUCAGUAAAAUAAAAUACAAAAACACAAUCACGGUUGCACCAAGCACAACAUCAAACACAUACAAUGCUGAAGAGCAGGCGUAUCGAGGGCAUACCCGUGGCUCAUAACACAGUCACAGUUCAGAAGGCCGGCACGCGGUGUCAACCAGGCCACCAUUCCUCUCCGCAUUAAAGCACUCGGUGGGGGAGGGUGCCCUGGUUGACACAAUGUGCCGCGCAUCAACCAGCGCGACGGAAGUUGGCCUCCAGCAAAGCACAUUUUGCACGCAAAUGGUGUCCGCUCUCCCAAACCACACGAAUGGCACCAUGGCAAAAAACACCCCCCACAAUGUAUUGACCUUGUUUGUUAAUGAAAGUGUGGCACUGACUUCGGCAGACGCCAAGUGGUGGAUAUAGAACCACCUUUCAUGGCAGUACAUUGCAGCAUGUGCCACAUGUUCAAAAGCAAUAAACAGAUUAAAAGAA
RNAcentral lists this unclassified non-coding RNA (766 nucleotides) under Human gammaherpesvirus 8. RNAcentral describes it as "T0.7". The stretch from base 160 to 229 matches the Rfam family "mir-K12-10 microRNA precursor family". Lineage: Duplodnaviria; Heunggongvirae; Peploviricota; Herviviricetes; Herpesvirales; Orthoherpesviridae. The record is from RNAcentral.